Molecule: long non-coding RNA, 2077 nt
Organism: Cololabis saira (Pacific saury)
Lineage: Eukaryota; Metazoa; Chordata; Actinopteri; Beloniformes; Belonidae
Exons: 3
Source: RefSeq, a predicted model, not a curated record
UACUUCUUCUCUUAAUGAUGUGCUUAAGAGGUAAAUAAAAUCAGCUGAUCGUAGCAGGUCUUCGUGUAUGUGGUAAAUACAACUUCAAAUAUGAGCAUAUCACAUUUUUCAUCGUUCCUUUAUUAUUUGAACACAAAUGAAGAACGAAUAAAAAUAAAUAAAAAAAAUAAAAAACACAUGAGCAAUACUAAGUACCCCCAUCUUUAGCAGCAAUAACUUAAGGCAAAAACACGGCCAAAGUUACGUCCUCCGGGUGCCGCCAACCAGGAAUCAAAAGUUCUGCCCGGUACACGAUGUCCCAGAAGGCAAAACUUUCUCCCGCUGGGUCCAUAUUGGUCGUUCCGUUCUGUCAAGGAGCGGUUGAUUGAGGACCCAGAUGCAGGAGAGCGAGAGGCAGGAGUUCCAAAAAACAGGAUUUAUUGAAGCAAAAACACAAAAACAAGAACCAAAAGCGCUGCUGGGCAGGAUCAAAAAGAGGCAGAACAGAAACAGGGAUCCAAAAACUAUGAGACAACAUGGAAGGAGCAAACAGUACGGAACGACAAGGAGCAGGGGAAAGACAGGACCAGAUAUACACAGGGUAACGAGACACAGGUGUGAACAAUCAGGGCAGAUGGAAGACAGACGGGGCAGAACAGAAACACAAACUGGGGGAAAUGUCAGACACUGACACAGACUUGCUAUGACCAAUUCAUUAACAACGGAUGAUUGGCAGCACUUAGACGAAACAUCAAUAAGGGGGUACUUAGUGUUACCCACAUAUUUCUAACAGGAUUCAUGUUUAUUGAGAACAAGGUGACAGAAAAUACACGUUAUUGUUCUUCUAAGGUUUUGUUUGCCUCAUCCUGAGGCCCAGUGUGGCCGGAUGAUGUUCAUUAUGAACACAAAUGUAAAGGAAUUGAUUGAGCCGUUGAUUCCAAGCUGAUUGGAUUCUAUGAAAACUAUAUUUACUUAAAUAAUAAAUAAAUAAUAAAGAAUACAGAAAUAAUAGAAGGUGAGGAAGUAAAACGGCCAUGAGUCUCUGGGUGUUCACAGCUGUGGGUGCACGUGUUCACACACACACACACACGCACGCACGCACGCACGCACGCACGCACGCACGCACACACCCACACACACACACACACACACACACACACACACAGAUCAUUUCCGUUUGUGUGUUGUGAAGUUUCAUGCCUGCCUGACUGCAGCUGCCCGUUUGUCUGUUUGUGGUAAGACGCACUGAAUAAGUGCUUAUUUGUGAGUGAGAAGCCUCGACCAAUGGCGUGCGUCGCUGGCCUAUUUAAGGGGAGGUGAUGGGGAACCCGGAAACAAAGCGCGACUCUUCGCCCCCGCCCACUGCGGGUCCCGGUCGGUUCCUGUCUCGUUCCUCAUCCACCUGUGGCUUUGGCCGGCUCGUGUCAGAAGCGGAUCUUGCAGAAAGAUUCCGUGCUUAAUUGCAACUGCACGUUCCGGCGUCCAGUUUCCUUCCAGUCUGCGCAGCGCGCAUUCUGUGAGUUUUUGGGGCUCGCUCCGAGCGUCUGUUAAUCGGGCGACUUGUGGAAUUGGGCGAGCCUCACUAAGAUUAAUUAAGACGCCUGGCAUCAUCUGGGGUUGCCGGAUUUGGUCCCGCUGCCGUUCUUGUCAACCUGAAGUUACCAAGCAGUGUCCUGGUUGGACUGACGCUGUCGCCCGUGUGAAGAGUCUGCAAGACCACCAAGCAUCAAAGCAUUUUUAUACUAAGUUUUAGCUAUUGUGCGCGUGUGAGAGAGGGUGUGCGUGCGAGUGAGUGGUUGUGAGACUAGUUGGUGUGUGUGUGUCUAGAGUGUGGUGUGGGGAUGCUCCUUUUGGGUUAAUUUGGGGUAACUUGGGUUUUGUCGCCCUUGUUACCUUGUGUAACUGAUAUAUUGUGCGUGGUCAGCAACCACAGUGGUCAAUCUUUGGUUUUGUCCCCUCCCAUUACUUUUGAGCUGUUUAUAUUGGUUUCAUAUGUUUGUGUACUUAUUUUGUUUUCCUCCUUAAACCCCUUUUUUUGUUUCUUUGCUUUUCAGGUGCUGAGCGUUUCACGGCAGGGUGGCAGCCAACCCUUUCGGUG